GACGAAGGUGGCGAGCGUUGUUCGGAAUCACUGGGCAUAAAGCGCACGUAGGCGGCGGCGUAAGUUGGAUGUGAAAUCCCCCGGCCCAACCGGGGAACUGCGUCCAGUACUGCGUUGCUUGAGGAUCCAAGGGGUGCAUGGAAUUCCCGGUGGAGCGGUGAAAUGCGUUGAUAUCGGGAGGAACUCCGGCGGCGAAAGCGGUGCACUGGUGGAUUACUGACGCUGAGGUGCGAAAGCCAGGGGAGCGAACGGG
Molecule: ribosomal RNA, 253 nt
Filed under: uncultured bacterium
Lineage: Bacteria
Description: partial 16S ribosomal RNA
Rfam family: Bacterial small subunit ribosomal RNA
Source: RNAcentral